CCGGACACCUGUGCUGCCUGCUGCCACAGUUCCCUCCCAGUCAGGGCGGGGGGAGGCGGGGCCAGACCGGAUAGACCAGUGUGCCGCAUUCUUUUCCAACCUGGAGGCUUUUCUCAGGAACACAGAGAUCUUCUGUACACAUAUACACACAGGAAGAGAGGGGAAAGAACCAUGCCAGGAGGGAAACUCGGACAGUAGCUCUGACUCAGGUCUCUGUAUCUACACAUAUAGUAGGAGAGGAGUAUUGGAACCUUCCGGGCCAAAUUCAAAUAACUUGUUCCGUUGUUUUCCUGAGAAAGUGAGAAUUUGUUUCUCCUGGAUUCCCAGGGAGAUUAUUCCGGGACAUGCUUCCUGCCUCUGAACAGUUUGACUUGACUGGGCACGUCAUUGGAAUUCUGCUCUACAAAACUGGAAGUUCUGGAACUCUGGAAAAUGUAGAGUAGAGGCUGUUUGUGAUUGAAGAAAGUUGUCUAUUCACAGCAUAGCAAGGUUUUGUGUUGCCAAACGGGAUUACAGGAUAGCAGGGGUUAUAGCUAGAGCCCUCCUGGAGAGGGUAAGAAGAGCUAGGGGAUUUGUCCUCACAAAGGCCUUUUGUUCAUUGGAACCAGUAGAAGCGGACACAGUUUGGCAGGUUAGACAGCUGGAGGUGUAGAGAUGAUCCUUUUGUGACACUGAAUGGACAGACUGUACUGGGAUAGCCUUUCUACCUGGCUGGCUGACUACAUUUUAGUCAUUUAGUAGACACUAUUAUCCAGAGCGAUUUACAGGAGAAAUUAGGGUUAAAUACCUUGCUCAAGGGGCAAAUCAACAGAUUUUUCACCAAGUCGGCUCAGGGAAUCGAACCAACCUUUUGGUUACUGGCCCAACACUCUUAACGCUAGGCUACCUGCCGACCCAGAGUUCACUGCCCAAAGUACAUGCUACAGUGCAUUUAAGGGCUCUGUGAAAAUGGACAGUGUAAGUAAUAGCUCUGAGGUUCAGGGGAAGCAGCAAUCCAAUUUGUUCCGCAAUAAGAUCUCCACUAUGUUUACACAUGGGGACAAGACUGAGCCUCAGAGGCUGGCGGGGGAGACUGCGGUGCUGACGGCUUUCAGGACCCUGUCUGAUGAAGAGAACGAUCUCAUAGGGGUCAGUGAUCAAAGUACCCUGGAUGUUAUCAGUGAUGUGAGGGGUAUGAGUGUGGUACUUCAUAAAAGAGAGGACAGGAUUGAAUCAUGGGAGAAUGAGUCCAGUAGCUUUGUGACCUCUCCUAACGCCGGCCAGGUGUCUGUUUCCACGGCCGACCCAGGUCUGGUCCAGGUUACAAUGGUGGAGAUCUGUAGCGACACAGAGAUGGAAGAUGAGGAGGGGAUCAGCAGCCUCAGCCAAUCGGACAAGCCUGACGCCCCUGGAAUGUCCUUCCCACCUGACGUUGACCAGUGGACAGUGGCAGUGUUCGAUGAUAACAAGGGUCAGCUGCCACCCGUUGGCCCAGUGAGAGGUGCAAUUGAGACAGACUUAAAGCUGCCUGUGUAUAAGCCACAUAGUCUUGUGGAGGGAUCCCUCAAAGACACCUCUGUUCUGUACUCUGCAAGGUUUAUGGGCAGAUCUAACAGUGGGACAGACCUUGGACUGCUCUCCUCUGUCUCCAAAACACAAGUGCCUGGAGACGGCUGCAGCACUGACCUCUACACUGAUCCCAGGCCUGUGGAGGUGGGUGUGGAUGCAGCAGCCAUGGGUGCCAAGGGGUCCAGUUAUCAUCACCACAAAGUAGCCAAAGGCUUCAGCACCAGCCAGGAGGUAUUGGGCCUUACUGACAUGUGUGCUGGAGACAACUCUGCAGUGGCUUCACUUCUUAACUUGUCUCUCACCUCUGAACCCCAGACAUCAGAGGAAGCAGCAGACGACACUGCCUUGCAGUCAGGACAGCCAGAGGGCCAAGAUUCUGGACAGAGGAAGGAGAUUUUUGGGGAAAACACUGGAACUGAGGAGCAUAAAGAUCAUGUCCACUGCCUGGACUCCCCCUCCACCCUCUCUGAGUCAAAGCCACCUGAAGCAGCAGAGACAUCUUCUCCUAGCCUGGAGAAGCAGCCUGACACUGAAGUGAGAAAAUGUAUUUUAAGGACUGGUCUGGCCGUGUCGCGUGUUCCUGGAGAGUCCCCAACUGACAGCCAGCCAAGUGCCACUCCUGUCUCUGUCUCACCCAGGGGCCAAGGCGACAUGACUGUCAAAAGGAGGCCCGACACAGACUCACCCUCCGCCUCCCCCUCCAGUGGCACAGUCUCCUCCCAUGCCCCCUCCUUCCAGCUGCCUGCCCUGUUCAGUGGACUGCGGGUUCUGAGGAAAGGGGCUGUGGGGGAGGAGAGGGAGACAGUGUCUGAGAUCAAACAGAGAGACGCUGACCUGGCCCUUCUGAGCCUGAAGAAGACUGUCAACAAAGCCAAUAACUUCCCUGAGCAGAUCACCUCCAGUAGCCGCACCCCCAAGAAACGUCCUGAGCCCAAACAUGUGUCUGAGACCAAGAGUAAUCUCCUGGGGCAGCUCAGCCAGCUGCUCAACCUUGACGGGACCAAGGCCGAGGACAACCCGGACCCACUGCUAGAGCUCAGAGACAGGGAGCCUGAGAGGGGGGAGGAGGGGGCGACAGACCAGGGUCCAGAGCUGAUCCCCACCACCCCACCAGCAGGCAACAGGAGAGCCUCAGACACAACAUUAAACACUUUUAAGAGUCUCUUCAGCUCCAAACCUGCUAAAAGGGAUACAGCGGAUCCUGUGGAUUUAGAGGCUGUCAAGAAAAAAAAUAAAAGUGAGAAGGACCUGCUGAAAUCCAUCUUUGAGAGAACCUCCAAGUCUCCCAGCAGUGAGCAAAAAGGUCCAGCGGAGUCUAAAUCUGAGGUCACCUCCCCUACAGACAGUGAGGACCGGACCCCCGGGCGGCUCCAGGCCAUCUGGCCCCCGCCCAAGCCCAAGGAUGAGGAGGAGAAGGUGGGGCUCAGGUACACCGAGGCAGAGCACCAGGCUGCCCUCUUACAGCUGAAGAGAGAAUGCAAAGAGGAGGUGGAGAAAGUACAUGCAGACUUUGAGCUACAGAUCUUCCAGGUGCGAGGGGAGCAUGCUGUCGCCAUGUCCCAUCUGGAGGGAGUCAUCUGCAUGAUGCAGACAGACCGUCAACAGGCCUUCAGCCUGGGCCACGAGAGGGGCGAGCUCCGUGAGGCCUGCGUGUCCACCGAGGACGACCUGCCUCCCAAAACUUUUCGGAAUGUCUGCAUCCAGACAGACAGGGAGACCUUCCUCAGGACGCCCGAGGGUGAGGCCAGUCGGCCCAGUCUCGGCCCCAGUCAGAACGUGCCUAAGAAACUCAACCUGAGUCUGCAUGGAGGAGCCUCAGGAAUCCCCGGCCCACCUCCCCCGCCCCCUCCCCCCCUUCCUCCCUUCCCUGGCCAAUCAGGACCGCCUCCACCUCCUCCUCCUCCUCCACCUCCCCCGUUACCUGGCAACAUGGGGCCACCGCCUCCACCCCCCCUCCCAGGUUUUGGUCCCCCACCUCCCCCUCCCCCUCCUCCGGGGUUACCUGGAGCUGGUCCUCCCCUUCCUCCCCCUCCACCUGGGUGUGCCCCACCCCCUCCUCCUGGGGGUGGAUUAUUUGGGUUUGGGUUCGGCCAGGCAGCAGAGAAGGCCCCAAGGAAACCUGCGUUGGAACCUGCUACUCCCAUGAAGCCUCUAUACUGGACGAGGAUACAGAUCCAAGACAAUAAUAAUAAUACACUAUGGGGUUCUCUGGAGGAGCCAGACAUCGUAGACACCAAGGAGUUUGAGGACCUGUUCUCGAAGGCCACUCUGCAGCCAAAGAAGAAGCCCCUCUCAGACACCUUUGAGAAGAAGGCCAAGACUAAGAAGAUUAUCAAGCUGCUGGAUGGGAAACGUUCCCAAGCAGUAGGCAUCCUCAUCUCAAGUCUUCACCUUGAAAUGAAGGACAUUCAGAAAGCUGUUUUGAGUGUAGAUAACUCUGUGGUGGACUUGGAGACCAUCGAGGCUUUAUAUGAAAAUAGGGCCACGAAUGACGAGCUGGAGAAGAUAAAAACCCACUAUGAGAUGUCCAAGGAGGACGAGGUGAAGCUACUGGACAAGCCUGAACAGUUCUUGUAUGAACUCUCCCAGAUUCCAGACUUCUCUGGCCGGUCCCACUGCAUCAUAUUCCAGUCUAUCUUCCUUGACUGCAUAUCUUCCAUCCACCGCAAAGUAGAAAUAGUCUCCACCGUGAGCAAAAAUCUGCUGGACUGUAGCAGUGUGAAGGAUGUGAUGGGGCUGGUCCUAGCCUUUGGGAACUACAUGAACGGAGGCAACAGGACACGGGGUCAGGCUGAUGGCUUUGGCCUGGAGAUCCUGCCCAAACUGAAGGAUGUCAAGAGCAGGGACAACUGUAUCAGUCUGGUGGAUUACGUAGUUGCAUACUAUCUGCGCAAUUUUGACGAGCACGCAGGAACAGACAAGAGUAUAUUCCCACUGCCUGAGCCACAGGAUUUCUUCUUGGCAGCUCAGGUCAAAUUUGAAGACCUCACAAAGGACAUGAGGAAGCUGGGGAGAGACCUGACUGGUGAGACACAGUGUGUGAAAAGGCUGUUCAGAAGGUGUGUGCUAGCUCCUCUGAGAAGGACCUCCAGCCCUUCAAGGAGAAAAUGGAGGCCUUCGUCUCGACCGCUCAAAAGGACCACACUGCUGAGGAUGACAGGCUCAAUGCAGCACAGAAAAGCUUCCUGGACAUGGUGGGCUACUUUGGGCUCAAGCCAAAGUCUGGGGAGAAGGAGGUGGCCCCUGGUUACGUCUUCAUGCUCUGGUAUGAGUUCUGCAGUGACUUCAAGAACACGUGGAAACGGGAGUGUAAGAACAUCUCCAAGGAGAGGCUGAAGGAAGCGCAGGAGAACAUGAAAAAGAUCACUGCUGAGAAGAGGGUGGAAACCAAGAAGAUCAAUGCCAACAGUCUGAAAGAGAGACUGCGUCAGAAGGAAGCCAGCGUGUCCUCCAGCUGAAGAGGAUGACCAAUGAAGGACAGAGUGGAGAGAGGAAGUGGAGAGAGAUGGCAGAUGGGGAAAGUCUGCUGGCUUCACAACUUCUCGCCUUCACCACCUGCCUCUUACCCAACAACAUACCUCAUAUAGCCCUCCGUGCCCCCACGCUGUGGACCUCUCUACUACGGCCAAUUCUACCAUCCCUACUGACUGGACCAUCUCCACCACUCUCCAUGGGGCACCCCUCUUUCACCUCAACCUCGUUCCCAGAUGAGAGGCACCUUGUGUGGCUUCCAUCACUGUGUAUCCCUAGGACUACCAUCCAGACCACUUACACCAUGGGAAAUAGGAACCUGUCUGCCUGACACCCUGCUGUAGAUAUGCCGACUGCUAAGUCUAGGUAGGCCUCCUGACCCCUGACCACUAGGCUUCCUAGGCCUGCUGGAGCUGAGGACCUACAUUCAUUCCCCAGUCUGGGUUUCUUUAAGGACAGCAUCACACAUCUUGAUGACAUAAUCCAAUGCAUUGUAGCUAGGUUAUACAAACACAAUAAAUACAUCCAAAAUAAGGAGGAGGCCUCAUUGUUGUUGGGCUAUGUCCGCAGAUAUGGCUACCAGGUGAUGUUCACUCAGAGAAACUAUUACCAUUGAAUGAGUAAGACAUUCAGGAGUUGUUAUUCUAACAAUGAUUCAGAAUAUGAAAGCAAUGUACAAUGCUAUCGUGUGGAGAAUAGCUAUUCAUCUGCUGUGGCCCAUUUUUGGAAGUGUGUCUUGUGAAUGCCUUUCACAUGGCGUUUGUUUUCAUAUGAGCAGAGACUGAAACGUUUGACCUGAUGUUGUAUUAUGAAGAGAAUCAGUGGUCUUUAUUGGACUGCGAGUCCUGUUGAAGGCAUAGCGGUGUGGGUCCUGGUCAGAAGGUAGAAACUGGAUGUAACGGUGUUAACUUUCUCACUGCACCAGACUGACCCCUCCUGGGUGAUAGCCAGAGAAUGCCAGACCUUGGCAGCAAUGCUUUGCUCUCAUCCCCCGAGUCAGACAUCACGCUCUGAGAUGAACAAACAACCCUGCUAUAAGCUACGCUGAGAAAAGCAACAGGUCUUCUGAGUAUGGCUGCCCUGACACAUUUUUUAAGUGUAUAUGAUAGAAUCGUUAGUUGUUCCCAAUGAAUGUCGUUCAUGACAUAUGUAUGUCACAAUUCUAAGCACUUUCCUUCUUGCAUCAGCUGUAUUUAGUAGCUAAGCUACAUCCCCUGUUCUUCUCAGAAUGGUACUUAAUCAAAAUGUAUUGCACUUUUUUUACACCUCAGUUUAAACUCCUAUGCAAUUCUAUGGCUUGCGUGCUAUGAUAAGAACAUUUAUGAAUUAAUGUUGUAAUGAAAAUUGCAUCAUCCAUUUCGAGUUUUUAGAGAAAACUAUAUUAUAUUUAUUUAACAAAAUAUUUGUCAUUUAACUCUGGAAGAUUUAAACGUUGUUUUGGAAAACUCUAAAUGUGAAAGAUUUAUUUUAUGCCAAAACAUUAACUGUAAAAAAUACAGCCUCUUUGGGGCUGUAUUUUUGUGUAUUAAUUGUUUCCUACCCUUAGCUUGAGGAGGAUACAUGAAUGGCUCAGUAGUCAGGUGAAAGAUGUGUUUAGUUUAAUUUGGAUGUGACAUAUUAAGUAGAGCCUUAUUAAUUUACCCCAAAUGAUCUUGUUUCAUACCUGAUCCAAACUGAUAGGGAGAGUAUAAUUUGGCUAAAUAUAUUGCCUUUUGAUUUAUUUAAAUCAAGAACAUAUUUACUUUGUUUAAAAAAUAGAAACGAUUACUCAUAUCAAUCCAUGUGUAUACUUCACCCCUGUUAGAACCCAUUGAGUGUAAAAAAUAACAUCGUUGUUUCAUAAUCAUUGAAUGUGCCAUUAUUUUGCAUGAAGAGUUUUCACAAUCUUACAAUUGCAAAUUGUCUGUUUACUUUACACUUUUUUCAAAACCAAAUUAGUAGGCUAGAAGUUAAAUAUUAUGAAGGCCUAUCUAUAAUGUAAAUUGGUUCAUUUAGUUACAGGCCGAUAUAUGUUUCCACGUUUUUUUACAUGUUUAUCGUAAAAUAAAUCAUUUGCGCUAGGUCAAAGAAAUAGAUGACAGACACGACACACAUCACAACAUUUCAGUCACCAAAGUCUUAACUGAAGUCUAUAGAUGAGGAACUUUGCAGCUAUGGAAAUUAACUUUUAAAGCAUCCUUGUCAAUUGUUUCUCUACUUUCAGCACUCCCUAGUAGGCUUAACAUUCAGGCUCAGUAAUGAUGCAGUAACUAAAUAAAGGUGAAAAUAUGUUCAUUACAAUGACUCAAGUAGCCAAAUUGUUUCAUUAAUGUAUAUGAUUAAUUUAUGCUCCAUUAUUUAUUAAAUUGCACCUGUUCCUCU
Oncorhynchus mykiss (rainbow trout) is the source of this 7380-nucleotide RNA transcript. It is a transcript of the gene named formin, with no coding region annotated. The record is from RefSeq and is a predicted model, not a curated record. NCBI's taxonomy places the organism in Eukaryota, Metazoa, Chordata, Actinopteri, Salmoniformes, Salmonidae.